RNAcentral lists this ribosomal RNA (268 nucleotides) under uncultured archaeon. Its description in RNAcentral is "partial 16S ribosomal RNA". It matches the Rfam family "Archaeal small subunit ribosomal RNA", at positions 380 to 649 of the family's 1478-position model. The record is from RNAcentral.
CCCAAGUGCCAUUCUUAACGGGAUGGCUUUUUUUGAGUGUAAAAAGCUUGAAUAAUAAGAGCUGGGCAAGACCGGUGCCAGCCGCCGCGGUAACACCGGCAGCUCGAGUGGUAGCCAGUUUUAUUGGGCCUAAAGCGUCAGUAGCCGGCUUAUUAAGUCUUUGGUGAAUCCUGUAAUCCAACUGUCAGGCUGCUAGGGGAUACUGCUAGGCUUGGGACCGGGAGAGGUGAGAGGUACCUUGGGGGUAGGGGUGAAAUCUUGUAAUCCA